This 73-nucleotide transfer RNA is filed under the name Fasciola gigantica. It matches the Rfam family "tRNA". From Rfam's summary of the family: Transfer RNA (tRNA) molecules are approximately 80 nucleotides in length. Their secondary structure includes four short double-helical elements and three loops (D, anti-codon, and T loops). Further hydrogen bonds mediate the characteristic L-shaped molecular structure. tRNAs have two regions of fundamental functional importance: the anti-codon, which is responsible for specific mRNA codon recognition, and the 3' end, to which the tRNAs corresponding amino acid is attached (by aminoacyl-tRNA synthetases). tRNAs cope with the degeneracy of the genetic code in two manners: having more than one tRNA (with a specific anti-codon) for a particular amino acid; and 'wobble' base-pairing, i.e. permitting non-standard base-pairing at the 3rd anti-codon position. The record is from Rfam by way of RNAcentral. Lineage: Eukaryota; Metazoa; Platyhelminthes; Trematoda; Plagiorchiida; Fasciolidae.
ACCGCGAUAGCUCAGCUAGUAGAGCAUCUGCUCGGAAUGCGGAGGGUCGUCGGUUCGACUCCGGCUCGCUGCG